UACGUAGGUCCCGAGCGUUGUCCGGAUUUAUUGGGCGUAAAGCGAGCGCAGGUGGUUUAAUAAGUCUGAUGUAAAAGGCAGUGGCUCAACCAUUGUGUGCAUUGGAAACUGUUAGACUUGAGUGCAGUAGAGGAGAGUGGAAUUCCAUGUGUAGCGGUGAAAUGCGUUGAUAUAUGGAGGAACACCGGUGGCGAAAGCGGCUCUCUGGACUGUAACUGACACUGAGGCUCGAAAGCGUGGGUAGCAAACAGG
This 252-nucleotide ribosomal RNA is filed under the name uncultured microorganism. RNAcentral describes it as "partial 16S ribosomal RNA". It matches the Rfam family "Bacterial small subunit ribosomal RNA", at positions 524 to 776 of the family's 1533-position model. The record is from RNAcentral.